UGGGGAAUAUUGCACAAUGGGGGAAACCCUGAUGCAGCAACGCCGCGUGAAGGAUGAAGGUUUUCGGAUCGUAAACUUCUUUGAUGAGGGACGAAAAAAAUGACGGUACCUCAAAAACAAGCCACGGCUAACUACGUGCCAGCAGCCGCGGUAAUACGUAGGUGGCGAGCGUUGUCCGGAAUUACUGGGUGUAAAGGGCGUGUAGGCGGGAAGGUAAGUCAGAUGUGAAAUUCCAUGGCUCAACUGUGGCACUGCAUCUGAAACUAUCUUUCUUGAGUGAUGGAGAGGAAAGCGGAAUUCCUAGUGUAGCGGUGAAAUGCGUAGAUAUUAGGAGGAACACCAGUGGCGAAGGCGGCUUUCUGGACAUUAACUGACGCUGAGGCGCGAAAGCGUGGGGAGCAAACAGG
RNAcentral lists this ribosomal RNA (407 nucleotides) under uncultured bacterium. RNAcentral's name for it is "bacterial SSU rRNA". It matches the Rfam family "Bacterial small subunit ribosomal RNA", at positions 355 to 776 of the family's 1533-position model. The record is from RNAcentral.